This 241-nucleotide unclassified non-coding RNA is filed under the name uncultured fungus. Its description in RNAcentral is "partial contains 5.8S ribosomal RNA, internal transcribed spacer 2, and large subunit ribosomal RNA". The record is from RNAcentral. Lineage: Eukaryota; Fungi.
AACGCACAUUGCGCUCCCUGGCAUUCCGGGGAGCAUGCCUGUUCGAGCGUCAUUAUCAACCAUCAAGCACCGCUUGGCAUUGGGCGCCGUCCUCACGGGACGCACCCUAAAGAAUUCGGCGGUGGUGUUGAACCUCAAGCGUAGUAAAAUCUUUAGCUUUCUGGGUUCGGCAUCGUUUGGCCUCGAGAAACAAACACCUAAGGUUGACCUCGGAUCAGGUAGGGAUACCCGCUGAACUUAA